RNAcentral lists this ribosomal RNA (749 nucleotides) under uncultured bacterium. Its description in RNAcentral is "bacterial SSU rRNA". It matches the Rfam family "Bacterial small subunit ribosomal RNA", at positions 86 to 866 of the family's 1533-position model. The record is from RNAcentral.
GUGAGUAAAGUGGCGUACGGGUGAGUAACACGUGGAUCAUCUACCCUCUUGUGGGGGAUAACCCUGGGAAACCGGGGCUAAUACCGCAUAAUACCCACGGGUCAAAGCAGCAAUGCGCUUGGAGAGGAGUUCGCGGCCGAUUAGUUAGUUGGCGGGGUAAUGGCCCACCAAGACGGUGAUCGGUAUCCGGCCUGAGAGGGCGCACGGACACACUGGAACUGAAACACGGUCCAGACUCCUACGGGAGGCAGCAGUGGGGAAUUUUGCGCAAUGGGGGAAACCCUGACGCAGCAACGCCGCGUGGAGGAUGAAAUCCCUUGGGAUGUAAACUCCUUUCGAUAGGGAAGAUAAUGACGGUACCUAUAGAAGAAGCCCCGGCUAACUUCGUGCCAGCAGCCGCGGUAAUACGAGGGGGGCAAGCGUUGUUCGGAAUUAUUGGGCGUAAAGGGUGCGUAGGCGGUUUGACAAGUCUAAUGUGAAAUCUAUGGGCUCAACCCAUAGUCUGCAUUGGAAACUGUCGGGCUUGAGUAUGGGAGAGGUGAGUGGAAUUUCCGGUGUAGCGGUGAAAUGCGUAGAUAUCGGAAGGAACACCUGUGGCGAAAGCGGCUCACUGGACCAUUACUGACGCUGAUGCACGAAAGCUAGGGGAGCAAACAGGAUUAGAUACCCUGGUAGUCCUAGCCCUAAACGAUGAUUGCUUGAUGUGGCAGGUACCCAAUCCUGCCGUGUCGAAGCUAACGCGAUAAGCA